AGGGAAUAGAGCCCUCGUGGGAUCCAGAACAACCAACAGAGCUCAUGUGUGGAAACCAGGGCUCCUUCACACCCACUUUUCUGAGGGACCGUGACAGAAAGAACCAAAAAUGAUGGAGCAGGAACUAUUUAAACCGCUGAAUUGGCACCACUCAGUAAGGAGAGAGAAUGGGCAGACCUGGUGCCAUGUUUCCAUGUUUCGCCAAAAUCAGAGAGACCAGAAAAACACAGUUUGACCUGGCCAGUU
Molossus molossus (Pallas's mastiff bat) is the source of this 246-nucleotide long non-coding RNA. RefSeq lists it as uncharacterized. The record is from RefSeq and is a predicted model, not a curated record. The transcript has 3 exons. Lineage: Eukaryota; Metazoa; Chordata; Mammalia; Chiroptera; Molossidae.